Molecule: long non-coding RNA, 476 nt
Organism: Coregonus clupeaformis (lake whitefish)
Lineage: Eukaryota; Metazoa; Chordata; Actinopteri; Salmoniformes; Salmonidae
Exons: 3
Source: RefSeq, a predicted model, not a curated record
UUGGCUAAGCCUUGAACGUUGUGUGACCAGGAUCCUGAGGCUGUAUGAACCUCUGGCCAGCUACUACAAAUCUGCUAAUGAAAAUCAGGCCAGGUUCAAGAGACUUGUGCAGACAUUCACUGACCCCAUGACAGAAGUGUACCUGCUGUUCUUCCAAGCCACCGUACCAACUUUCACUUCUUUCAACUUGCAGUCAUCAAUAUUUUUGUUGCAUGAUGAGGUGGGAUUGGAUUUUGCUGUUUUUUUCCAUUCUGUGUUUCUUGCUGAUAUCUGCAGGGAUCCUCUAAAACAGGUUUCACCUACUAUUUUUGUAAAUGUCUGUUAUAGAUGGUGAAAUUCGUAUGCAAGCUAUGUUCCAAGUUUAUGGUUCCAGCAGCUCUGCAGUGCCAUGAGGAGCCUUGUGAAAUUGCCUUUAAAGAAAAGGCAAACCAUUUACCAGGAAGAAAGUUGAACAUUGGGUUCACAACCAGGGCUAA